This 503-nucleotide ribosomal RNA is filed under the name uncultured bacterium. RNAcentral's name for it is "partial 16S ribosomal RNA". It matches the Rfam family "Bacterial small subunit ribosomal RNA", at positions 30 to 523 of the family's 1533-position model. The record is from RNAcentral.
AUUGAACGCUGGCGGCAGGCUUAACACAUGCAAGUCGAGCGGGGUGAUGGUGCUUGCACUAUCACUUAGCGGCGGACGGGUGAGUAAUGCUUAGGAAUCUGCCUAUUAGUGGGGGACAACAUCUCGAAAGGGAUGCUAAUACCGCAUACGUCCUACGGGAGAAAGCAGGGGAUCCCUUGUGACCUUGCGCUAAUAGAUGAGCCUAAGUCGGAUUAGCUAGUUGGUGGGGUAAAGGCCUACCAAGGCGAGGAUCUGUAGCGGGUCUGAGAGGAGGAGCAGCCAAACUGGGACUGAAGCAAGGCCCAGACUCCUACGGGAGGUAGCAGUGGGGAAUAUUGGACAAUGGUGUGAACCCUGAUCCAGCCAUGCCGCGUGUGUGAAGAAGGCCUUAUGGUUGUAAAGCACUUUAAGCGAGGAGUAGGCUCUUUUGGUUAAUACCCAAGAUGAGUGGACGUUACUCGCAGAAUAAGCACCGGCUAACUCUGUGCCAGCCGCCGCAGUAA